Molecule: small nuclear RNA, 97 nt
Filed under: Cucumis sativus (cucumber)
Lineage: Eukaryota; Viridiplantae; Streptophyta; Magnoliopsida; Cucurbitales; Cucurbitaceae
Source: RNAcentral
GUCCCAUCGGGGACAUCCAAUAAAAUUGGAACGAGAAGAUUAGCAUGGCCCCUGAGCAAGGAUGACACUCACAAAUUGAAAAAUGGUCCAAAUUAAC